GGCAGAGUGGAGCAGUGGUAGCUCGCGAGGCCCAUAACCUCGAGGCCGCCGGUUCGAAUCCGGCCUCUGCAACCA
Molecule: transfer RNA, 75 nt
Filed under: Clostridiaceae bacterium
Lineage: Bacteria; Bacillati; Bacillota; Clostridia; Eubacteriales; Clostridiaceae
Also listed under: 1 other name
Description: tRNA-Met
Rfam family: tRNA
About the family: Transfer RNA (tRNA) molecules are approximately 80 nucleotides in length.
Source: RNAcentral